GACGAACGCUGGCGGCGUGCCUAAUACAUGCAAGUCGAGCGGAGCUUAUCCUUCGGGAUAAGCUUAGCGGCGGACGGGUGAGUAACACGUAGGCAACCUGCCCCUUAGCCUGGGAUAACUACCGGAAACGGUAGCUAAUACCGGAUAAUCCCUUUCCUCGCCUGAGGGAAGGAUAAAAGGCGGAGUAAUCUGCCGAUAAGGGAUGGGCCUGCGGCGCAUUAGCUAGUUGGUGAGGUAACGGCUCACCAAGGCGACGAUGCGUAGCCGACCUGAGAGGGUGAACGGCCACACUGGGACUGAGACACGGCCCAGACUCCUACGGGAGGCAGCAGUAGGGAAUCUUCCGCAAUGGGCGAAAGCCUGACGGAGCAACGCCGCGUGAG
RNAcentral lists this ribosomal RNA (383 nucleotides) under Paenibacillus sp. oral taxon 048. RNAcentral describes it as "bacterial SSU rRNA". It matches the Rfam family "Bacterial small subunit ribosomal RNA", at positions 28 to 405 of the family's 1533-position model. The record is from RNAcentral. Lineage: Bacteria; Bacillati; Bacillota; Bacilli; Caryophanales; Paenibacillaceae.